UCGAACGAUGAACUCCAGCUUGCUGGGGGGAUUAGUGGCGAACGGGUGAGUAACACGUGAGUAACCUGCCCUUGACUCUGGGAUAAGCGCUGGAAACGGCGUCUAAUACCGGAUACGAGCUUCAGCCGCAUGGCUAGGAGUUGGAAAGAWUUUCGGUCAAGGAUGGACUCGCGGCCUAUCAGCUAGUUGGUGAGGUAAUGGCUCACCAAGGCGACGACGGGUAGCCGGCCUGAGAGGGUGACCGGCCACACUGGGACUGAGACACGGCCCAGACUCCUACGGGAGGCAGCAGUGGGGAAUAUUGCACAAUGGGCGCAAGCCUGAUGCAGCAACGCCGCGUGAGGGACGACGGCCUUCGGGUUGUAAACCUCUUUUAGUAGGGAAGAAGCGAAAGUGACGGUACCUGCAGAAAAAGCACCGGCUAACUACGUGCCAGCAGCCGCGGUAAUACGUAGGGUGCAAGCGUUGUCCGGAAUUAUUGGGCGUAAAGAGCUCGUAGGCGGUUUGUCGCGUCUGCUGUGAAAUCUGGGGGCUCAACCCCCAGCCUGCAGUGGGUACGGGCAGACUAGAGUGCGGUAGGGGAGAUUGGAAUUCCUGGUGUAGCGGUGGAAUGCGCAGAUAUCAGGAGGAACACCGAUGGCGAAGGCAGAUCUCUGGGCCGUAACUGACGCUGAGGAGCGAAAGCAUGGGGAGCGAACAGGAUUAGAUACCCUGGUAGUCCAUGCCGUAAACGUUGGGAACUAGAUGUGGGGACCAUUCCACGGUCUCCGUGUCGCAGCUAACGCAUUAAGUUCCCCGCCU
This 801-nucleotide ribosomal RNA is filed under the name Frigoribacterium sp. B138F. RNAcentral's name for it is "bacterial SSU rRNA". It matches the Rfam family "Bacterial small subunit ribosomal RNA", at positions 62 to 874 of the family's 1533-position model. The record is from RNAcentral. Lineage: Bacteria; Bacillati; Actinomycetota; Actinomycetes; Micrococcales; Microbacteriaceae.